RNAcentral lists this ribosomal RNA (773 nucleotides) under uncultured bacterium. RNAcentral describes it as "bacterial SSU rRNA". It matches the Rfam family "Bacterial small subunit ribosomal RNA", at positions 61 to 798 of the family's 1533-position model. The record is from RNAcentral.
GUCGAACGAGUUCUCGUUGAAUCUCGGUGCUUGCACCGAGAUUCAACAUGGAACGAGUGGCGGACGGGUGAGUAACACGUGGGUAACCUGCCCUUAAGUGGGGGAUAACAUUUGGAAACAGAUGCUAAUACCGCAUAGAUCCAAGAACCGCAUGGUUCUUGGCUGAAAGAUGGCGUAAGCUAUCGCUUUUGGAUGGACCCGCGGCGUAUUAGCUAGUUGGUGAGGUAAUGGCUCACCAAGGCGAUGAUACGUAGCCGAACUGAGAGGUUGAUCGGCCACAUUGGGACUGAGACACGGCCCAAACUCCUACGGGAGGCAGCAGUAGGGAAUCUUCCACAAUGGACGCAAGUCUGAUGGAGCAACGCCGCGUGAGUGAAGAAGGCUUUCGGGUCGUAAAACUCUGUUGUUGGAGAAGAAUGGUCGGCAGAGUAACUGUUGUCGGCGUGACGGUAUCCAACCAGAAAGCCACGGCUAACUACGUGCCAGCAGCCGCGGUAAUACGUAGGUGGCAAGCGUUAUCCGGAUUUAUUGGGCGUAAAGCGAGCGCAGGCGGUUUUUUAAGUCUGAUGUGAAAGCCCUCGGCUUAACCGAGGAAGCGCAUCGGAAACUGGGAAACUUGAGUGCAGAAGAGGACAGUGGAACUCCAUGUGUAGCGGUGAAAUGCGUAGAUAUAUGGAAGAACACCAGUGGCGAAGGCGGCUGUCUGGUCUGUAACUGACGCUGAGGCUCGAAAGCAUGGGUAGCGAACAGGAUUAGAUACCCUGGUAGUCCAU